UCAAACCCCGAAUCGACUCAGUCUGGCCCUUCGAGAAGGUGAGCAUGAUGGCAAGAGGGCCUGGGUUACACCAGAGAGCCCAGGACCUCGGGAGAGGAUCCAGGGGCAGGUGGCACCUGUCUUCUUUAGCCUGGCUCAGGGAGGUGGGACAGACAGCAUCAGGAAUGGUCUUCUCUUUCUCUCCAGGUGGCUGAUGCCAUGAGGCAGAUGCAGGAGAAGAAAAACAUAGGCAAAGUCCUCUUGGUUCCUGGGCCUGAGAAGGAGACCUAGGGCCAGCGGCUGAGGGCCCUGGAGAGCCAGGAAGGGGGAAGAUGGGAAGUCCUGUUGUGUUGCCCACCAGCCUCUCACAUUUCAUCCUGUCAUGAUGCUCUACCCUCCCUCCCCAGAAAAGGUCUCUGUGCUGAUGACUGCUUCCCUGCUCUGAGCUUGCUCUUUGCUCAGGGGCCUCCCUCCCCCUUCCUUCCCUCGAGAGAGGUUGGGAAGUGACCACUUGGAUGUCUGAGCCCUGCUAAGGGGACAGGGAGGGUCAGCAGGAGGCUGGCUGCUUCCUGCCACCCCCCCUCUCCCGGGCCUGCCAUGCUGCUUUUGUGCCAAGGUUAGCCAGUCUGUCCCUGCCCUAUCCUGUGUGCUUCCCCCUUAGCCUCAUCUUCCCUCCUGCCCCACCCCCACCCAAAGAAUCUGUGUCAGCUCAGGAUGUGGGGCUAAUCUGUGUGAGUGAGUCCAGCAUGUACCCGUGCCUCGGUAGUAUUCAUGCAACCCAGGCCGACGAGGCCCACCCCAACCUUGUCUCCCGUCCCCAGUGUCGUAAGCACAAUUAGACUUCUUCCACCUCCAGUUUGCUGCCUCCUACCGCAAGGGCAGGAAUCAGACCGACUCCCUGGCUCACCGCUCUGGGAGGGGUACUGGGUACCCCACCCUUCACUGAGGUCUCUGGAUUUGUCUCAGUGCCUUAGCAUCAGAAAACCUGUGCUUGUGUGUGUGUGUGUAGCGGGCAGCCCUAUCUCUGGCUCCUUUUCCACCCUUCUCCCCAGUGCCUUCCUCGUCCUGGUGGAGCUGAGGCCUACUCCUCCCCAGUCCAACACUGCCAAAAAUCUGUGUAUGUGCCAGGGGUCGGGGGUAGGGAGUAGCUCUAACCUCUGGGGAUCAAUUGUUUUUACUGUGGUCUGGGGCCUGGCCUAUCUGUCAGUGGUGGAGAAUGAAGAGGCAGUAUACUGGAUCAGCCCGAGUUCUGGGAGACACUGCUGGGUCUCAUUCUGGGACCGAAGUGAAACUCCAAGCACAUUCCCUUUGCUAUCUAGGAGGCUCCUGCCUUCCCAGAGCUCUGUUGUUCAGCCCCAAACUCUGUUUACACUGGUGGGGGAGAAGGAGCUCGGGUAGGGGAAUUACUGGGCUGGUUAAAAGGACAGGGGCUUCUGGAGCCAAAGUGGGGACCUUUGAGGCUAGGUGGGGGUCACCUGCUGCUUCUGAGCUUGGAUUAGAGAGAGCUGUUACUCCAGCCACUGUCAGAAGGAGUGUGAGGGGAGGGACCCAGCCUCUCUCUUGUCUAAUUGAGGCCUCCAUGUAGGAAGUGUGAUUUUUGCUUUUGUGUCCCCCACCCCAUUACCACAGCUGCCUUUGUGUCUGUGUCAAUAAACAGCCAAACCCUGAGUCCUGA
This 1654-nucleotide long non-coding RNA is filed under the name Rattus norvegicus (Norway rat). Its description in RNAcentral is "long non-coding RNA NONRATT006053". Lineage: Eukaryota; Metazoa; Chordata; Mammalia; Rodentia; Muridae. The record is from RNAcentral.